UUGAUAGCCCUGGCGAGCAGCAUUUUCAAUUUAUCCGCACAACAGGUAUGGUCUGGGCAGCAGCAGUGCUAACCUCCUGCCCAUGCUUCCCAUCCAAGCCUCCUCGGGCCUGCAGGGGCCACCUCGGAGCGGCCGGGAGCUAUUUCAGCGCCGUCCGUCUGUGUCCACC
RNAcentral lists this small RNA (169 nucleotides) under Nothoprocta perdicaria. Its description in RNAcentral is "TUC338 (ENSNPEG00000013844.1)". Lineage: Eukaryota; Metazoa; Chordata; Aves; Tinamiformes; Tinamidae. The record is from RNAcentral.